GAUUGGAUUGCACGUCUAAGCAGUAAGGCUGAGUAUUAGGCAAAUCCGGUACUCAUUAAGGCUGAGCUGUGAUGGGGAGAAGACAUUGUGUCUUCGAGUCGUUGAUUUCACACUGCCGAGAAAAGCCUCUAGAUAGAAAAUAGGUGCCCGUACCGCAAACCGACACAGGUAGUCAAGAUGAGAAUUCUAAGGUGAGCGAGCGAACUCUCGUUAAGGAACUCGGCAAAAUGACCCCGUAACUUCGGGAGAAGGGGUGCUCUUUAGGGUUAACGCCCAGAAGAGCCGCAGUGAAUAGGCCCAAGCGACUGUUUAUCAAAAACACAGGUCUCUGCUAAACCGUAAGGUGAUGUAUAGGGGCUGACGCCUGCCCGGUGCUGGAAGGUUAAGAGGAGUGGUUAGCUUCUGCGAAGCUACGAAUCGAAGCCCCAGUAAACGGCGGCCGUAACUAUAACGGUCCUAAGGUAGCGAAAUUCCUUGUCGGGUAAGUUCCGACCCGCACGAAAGGCGUAACGAUUUGGGCACUGUCUCAACGAGAGACUCGGUGAAAUCAUAGUACCUGUGAAGAUGCAGGUUACCCGCGACAGGACGGAAAGACCCCGUGGAGCUUUACUGUAGCCUGAUAUUGAAAUUCGGCACAGCUUGUACAGGAUAGGUAGGAGCCUUUGAAACGUGAGCGCUAGCUUACGUGGAGGCGCUGGUGGGAUACUACCCUAGCUGUGUUGGCUUUCUAACCCGCACCACUUAUCGUGGUGGGAGACAGUGUCAGGCGGGCAGUUUGACUGGGGCGGUCGCCUCCUAAAAGGUAACGGAGGCGCUCAAAGGUUCCCUCAGAAUGGUUGGAAAUCAUUCAUAGAGUGUAAAGGCAUAAGGGAGCUUGACUGCGAGACCUACAAGUCGAGCAGGGUCGAAAGACGGACUUAGUGAUCCGGUGGUUCCGCAUGGAAGGGCCAUCGCUCAACGGAUAAAAGCUACCCCGGGGAUAACAGGCUUAUCUCCCCCAAGAGUUCACAUCGACGGGGAGGUUUGGCACCUCGAUGUCGGCUCAUCGCAUCCUGGGGCUGUAGUCGGUCCCAAGGGUUGGGCUGUUCGCCCAUUAAAGCGGUACGCGAGCUGGGUUCAGAACGUCGUGAGACAGUUCGGUCCCUAUCCGUCGUGGGCGUAGGAAAUUUGAGAGGAGCUGUCCUUAGUACGAGAGGACCGGGAUGGACAUACCUCUGGUGUACCAGUUGUCGUGCCAACGGCAUAGCUGGGUAGCUAUGUGUGGACGGGAUAAGUGCUGAAAGCAUCUAAGCAUGAAGCCCCCCUCAAGAUGAGAUUUCCCAACUUCGGUUAUAAGAUCCCUCAAAGAUGAUGAGGUUAAUAGGUUCGAGGUGGAAGCAUGGUGACAUGUGGAGCUGACGAAUACUAAUCGAUCGAAGACUUAAUCAAA
Molecule: ribosomal RNA, 1429 nt
Filed under: Staphylococcus aureus
Lineage: Bacteria; Bacillati; Bacillota; Bacilli; Caryophanales; Staphylococcaceae
Description: partial 23S ribosomal RNA
Rfam family: Bacterial large subunit ribosomal RNA
Source: RNAcentral